GAGGCAGAAGUUGGCUCUGUGGCCUAACAGCUCUGGAGUUUUUCGCUCUUAUCUCGGAUUAGGUUUGGCGAAACUCUUUGCAGUUCCCGCUUCUCGGUAGAGACGUAACAGAGAUGCAAUGCUGCGUAAGAAGUGGUUACUAAGAGAGCUUCGUUCGCAAUAGAAGCAUUGACAGGUA
Molecule: long non-coding RNA, 178 nt
Organism: Cucurbita maxima (winter squash)
Lineage: Eukaryota; Viridiplantae; Streptophyta; Magnoliopsida; Cucurbitales; Cucurbitaceae
Exons: 2
Source: RefSeq, a predicted model, not a curated record